Molecule: long non-coding RNA, 808 nt
Filed under: Capra hircus (goat)
Lineage: Eukaryota; Metazoa; Chordata; Mammalia; Artiodactyla; Bovidae
Description: lncRNA (ENSCHIG00000000632.1)
Source: RNAcentral
UUUGUUGUGAUCUGUCUUAGCUUAUAACUUUAUUGAAGAAGCAGAAUAUGUCAAAUACACUUUUAGACAGCUUUUCAGAGUACUAUGAGAAUUUCUGUUUCAUUUAUUUCACAAACAAUUAUUAAGCAAUAAUCUACCUGCAGUGCAGGAGACCUGGGUUUGAUCCUGGGUUGGAAAGACCCCCCUGGAGAAAGGAAUGGUUACCACUCCAGUAUUCUUGUCUGGAGAAUUCCAUGGACAGAGAAGUCUGGUGGGCUACAGUCCAUGGGGUCACAGAGUCAGACAUGACAGCAACUAACGCUUUCAAUUCACUUCAUAAGUGCCAGACACUGGACCAGGUUCUAGCAUUAUAAGAAUGUGUACAUGUGCUAGUCACUCAGUCAUUCUUUGUGACCUCAUGGACUGCAGCCCUUCAGACUCUUCUAUACAUGGAAUUCUCCAGAAUGGACAGCAUAUAUGCACUACUGUGGAAAUCAUAUAAAGCAGAAGUGUUGUUUCAGCAGGAGAAGGCAGACUAUGCAAUGACGAUAAAAGGAUUUGCAGAUCUUCCUACGAAAAUGGCCAAUAUCCUGUCACAGCGCUAAUCAUGCCCUUGACCGCAAAGCGAAAUGGAUCCUGGUGAUAAUCUGGUGAUGCUGAAAUAUUAAAUUCCUUAAACACCCAGUCUUUCCACAGCAAAACUGCAUUGAUUUAUAUGGGUAGGUUUGUUGAAAUAAUUGUCCCAUCUUUUAUACAUGUGAAAAGAAGAGGUGACAGGAUGUAAAUGGAAAACUUUUACAAGCCAUAUUGCUGUUUGUAUAGAUAUUCA